AUGCUCCAGUCCAUGGGGUGGUAAAGAGUCAGACACGACUGAGCAAUUGAACAACAACAAGAGAAAUGCCAAAUCCUGUAGGAAAACAGUUCUGACAGCAGGGUUCUGAGAUAAAGUGACCUUUCUAGGUUAGUCAAGGAAGCACCCAGCCCACAGGUGUAAGCUUUUGAAAGCCUUGUCAGCCCCACCACCUCCUAUUCUUGAAACUUAGACAGUUUCAGCGUGCCUUCCAGAGCCUCUGGAACAAGCCCACUGGGCCCUGGGAAGGACAAAGUGGAGGGUAUGGUGAUGGCCUUGCCUGAGCAGUGCGUCACUUGGACACAGCCUGGACAUAGCUCUGCUCCCCUCCCAAGGGGCUGAGCUUUCUGGCACUUGCUCAAGGCAACCCAUCUGAUGCUGAGGGGGAGAAUUCCCAGAAGCUCAGAGCCAGUGCUGGGGGUGGAGCAUGUUCAGCCAGGCUUCAAAGGCUGAGUAGGAGCUGGCUGGUGGUGGGGAGCCAGUGUAAGCAGGGUUCUGUGGCUUGAGAAGCAAGUUGUCUGCAAGGAUGCUUUAUUGUUGCUCCAAAAACUGGUGAUGUGGAAGCAUUUAAAGAGAUAGAGAUUGUUAUUGUUCAGUUGCUAAGUCGUGUCCACCUCUUUGUGACCCCAUGGAUUGGAGCAUGCCAGGCUUCCCAGUCCUUCACUAUCGCCUGGAGUUUGUGCAAACUCAUGUCCAUUGACUUGGUGAUGCCAUCCAACCAUCUCGUCCUCUGUCGCCCCCUUCUGCUGCCCUCAAU
This 775-nucleotide long non-coding RNA is filed under the name Bos taurus (domestic cattle). RNAcentral's name for it is "long non-coding RNA NONBTAT028713". The record is from RNAcentral. Lineage: Eukaryota; Metazoa; Chordata; Mammalia; Artiodactyla; Bovidae.